Molecule: ribosomal RNA, 255 nt
Filed under: uncultured bacterium
Lineage: Bacteria
Description: partial 16S ribosomal RNA
Rfam family: Bacterial small subunit ribosomal RNA
Source: RNAcentral
UACGUAGGUGGCAAGCGUUGUCCGGAAUUAUUGGGCGUAAAGCGCGCGCAGGCGGCCUCUUAAGUCUGAUGUGAAAACCCCCCGGCUCAACCGGGGAGGGCCAUUGGAAACUGGGAGGCUUGAGUAUAGGAGAGGAGAGUGGAAUUCCACGUGUAGCGGUGAAAAUGCGUAGAGAUGUGGAGGAACACCAGUGGCGAAGGCGACUCUUUGGCCUAUAACUGACGCUGAGGCGCGAAAGCGUGGGGAGCAAACAGG